This 501-nucleotide ribosomal RNA is filed under the name uncultured bacterium. RNAcentral's name for it is "partial 16S ribosomal RNA". It matches the Rfam family "Bacterial small subunit ribosomal RNA", at positions 30 to 523 of the family's 1533-position model. The record is from RNAcentral.
AUUGAACGCUGGCGGCAGGCUUAACACAUGCAAGUCGAGCGGAGAGAGGUAGCUUGCUACUGAUCUUAGCGGCGGACGGGUGAGUAAUGCUUAGGAAUCUGCCUAUUAGUGGGGGACAACAUUUCGAAAGGAAUGCUAAUACCGCAUACGUCCUACGGGAGAAAGCAGGGGAUCUUCGGACCUUGCGCUAAUAGAUGAGCAUAAGUCGGAUUAGCUAGUUGGUGGGGUAAAGGCCUACCAAGGCGACGAUCUGUAGCGGGUCUGAGAGGAUGGUCCGCCACACUGGGACUGAGACACGGCCCGGACUCCUACGGGCGGCAGCAGUGGGAAAUAUUGGACAAUGGGCGCAAGCCUGAUCCAGCCAUGCCGCGUGUGUGAAGAAGGCCUUAUGGUUGUAAAGCACUUUAAGCGAGGAGGAGGCUACUUUAGUUAAUACCUAGAGAUAGUGGACGUUACUCGCAGAAUAAGCACCGGCUAACUCUGUGCCAGCCGCCGCCGUAA